UGAAUACGAGAUGCUACGGCGUCGAAGCAGUGUAUGUCAGACUUCCAAGAAAAGCUCGCAAUGUCAUAAAUAAAGAAUGCCUGUACCAUAACCGACACAGGUGGGUAGGUAGAGUAUACUAAGGGGCGCGAGAUAACUCUCUCUAAGGAACUCGGCAAAAUAACUCCGAAACUUCGGGAGAAGGAGUGCCUUCUUUAAGAAGGUUGCAAUAACAAGAUCCAAGCAACUGUUUAUCAAAAACACAGGUCUCCGCUAAGUCGUAAGACGAUGUAUGGGGGCUGACGCCUGCCCAGUGCCAGAAGGUUAAAGAAGUUGGUUAGCUUUUGCGAAGCUGAUGACUGAAGCCCUGGUGAACGGCGGCCGUAACAAUAACGGUCCUAAGGUAGCGAAAUUCCUUGUCGGGUAAGUUCCGACCCGCACGAAAGGCGUAAUGAUUUGGAUACUGUCUCGGAGAGGGACUCGGUGAAAUAGACUUGUCUGUGAAGAUGCGGACUACCUGCACCAGGACAGAAAGACCCUAUGAAGCUUUACUGUAACUUGAAAUUGAAAUUGGACUUUAUUUGCGCAGUAUAGGUGGAAGGCGUUGAAAGUAAUCUUGCGGGAUUAGUGGAGCCAUCAGUGAGAUACCACUCCUAUAAUGUUAGAUUUCUAACUUUGGAUCAUGAUCUGGUCAAAGAACAGUUUCAGGCGGGCAGUUUGACUGGGGCGGUCGCCUCCCAAAUGGUAACGGAGGCGUACAAAGGUUUCCUCUGAACGGGUAGAAAUCGUAUCUAGAGUGUAAAGGCAUAAGGAAGCUUGACUGUGAGACCUACAAGUCGAGCAGGGACGAAAGUCGGUCUUAGUGAUCUGACGGUGCUGAGUGGAAAGGCCGUCACUCAACGGAUAAAAGUUACUCUAGGAUAACAGGCUGAUCUCCCCCAAGAGUUCACAUCGACGGGGAGGUUUGGCACCUCGAUGUCGGCUCAUCGCAUCCUGGGGCGGUAGUACGUCCCAAGGGUUGGGCUGUUCGCCCAUGAAAGCGGUACGCGAGCUGGGUUCAGAACGUCGUGAGACAGUUCGGUCCAUAUCCGGUGUAGGCGUUAGAAUAUUGAGAGGAGCCUUCUUUAGUACGAGAGGACCGAGAAGGACAUACCUCUGGUGUACCAGUUAUCGUGCCAACGGUAAACGCUGGGUAGCUAUGUAUGGAGAGGAUAACCGCUGAAAGCAUCUAAGUGGGAAGCCCACCUCAAGAUGAGUAUUCGC
Molecule: ribosomal RNA, 1242 nt
Filed under: metagenome
Description: bacterial LSU rRNA
Rfam family: Bacterial large subunit ribosomal RNA
Source: RNAcentral